This 404-nucleotide ribosomal RNA is filed under the name Actinomycetes bacterium. RNAcentral's name for it is "Actinobacteria bacterium partial 16S ribosomal RNA". It matches the Rfam family "Bacterial small subunit ribosomal RNA", at positions 355 to 776 of the family's 1533-position model. The record is from RNAcentral. Lineage: Bacteria; Bacillati; Actinomycetota; Actinomycetes.
UGGGGAAUAUUGGACAAUGGGCGCAAGCCUGAUCCAGCCAUGCCGCGUGAUUGAUGAAGGCCCUAGGGAUGUAAAGCUCUUUCACCGGUGAAGAUAAUGACGGUAACCGGAGAAGAAGCCCCGGCUAACUUCGUGCCAGCAGCCGCGGUAAUACGAAGGGGGCUAGCGUUGUUCGGAUUUACUGGGCGUAAAGCGCACGUAGACGGACUUUUAAGUCAGGGGUGAAAUCCCGGGGCUCAACCCCAGAACUGCCUUUGAUACUGGAAGUCUUGAGUAUGGUAGAGGUGAGUGGAAUUCCGAGUGUAAAGGUGAAAUUCGUAGAUAUUCGGAGGAACACCAGUGGCAGAGGCGGCUCACUGGACCAUUACUGACGCUGAGGUGCGUAAGCGUGGGGAGCAAACAGG